GAUGAACGCUGGCGGCGUGCCUAAUACAUGCAAGUCGAGCGAACAGUCGAGGAGCUUGCUCCUCUGACGUUAGCGGCGGACGGGUGCGUAACACGUGGAUAACCUACCUAUAAGACUGGGAUAACUUCGAGAAACCGGAGCUAAUACCGGAUAAUAUAUUGCACCGCAUGGUUCAAUAGUGAAAGACGGUUUUGCUGUCACUUAUAGAUGGAUCCGCGCCGCAUUAGCUAGUUGGUAAGGUAACGGCUUACCAAGGCAACGAUGCGUAGCCGACCUGAGAGGGUGAUCGUCGACACUGGAACUGAGACACGGGCCAGACUCCUACGGGGGGCAGCAGUAGGGAAUCUUCCGAAAUGGGCGAAAGCCAGACGGAGCAACGCCGCGUAAGUGAUGAAGGUCUUCGGAUCGUAAAACUCUGUUAUUAGGGAAGAACAAAUGUGUAAGUAACUAUGCACGUCUUGACUGUACCUAAUCAGAAAGCCACGGCUAACUACGUG
This 497-nucleotide ribosomal RNA is filed under the name uncultured bacterium. Its description in RNAcentral is "partial 16S ribosomal RNA". It matches the Rfam family "Bacterial small subunit ribosomal RNA", at positions 28 to 507 of the family's 1533-position model. The record is from RNAcentral.